This is a long non-coding RNA of Papaver somniferum (opium poppy), 2681 nucleotides long. RefSeq lists it as uncharacterized. The record is from RefSeq and is a predicted model, not a curated record. The transcript has 6 exons. NCBI's taxonomy places the organism in Eukaryota, Viridiplantae, Streptophyta, Magnoliopsida, Ranunculales, Papaveraceae.
CUUGCAGGAAGCAUUAAAAGAAACCGCGAGGGCAAUGACUGAUAAAAACUAUGAAAAAAUAUUAACAAAUUCUCUAUAGCUUGUUCCAACUUCUAAAACCAAUGAAUAUUCUCUGCUGGCUGUUAUAAAGGUCUCCGGCCACGAAGCUGAGUAAAAUAUUACUGCAACAUGUUCAUUGGGCAUUUUAGGAACAGUAAAUCAGAGCGUACUCCAACAACAGCCCAAGCCAUCACCUUCAAUUCAAAAUCAAACUCCACAUCCCCUGUAUCUCAACAAAACCUAAACUACAGCCACAAAUCCAUUCCAUUAAAUCACUUCUUUCCUCCAUCCCUGCAUCAAUAAGACCAACAGCUUCUUCAUGUUCUUUCCCCUAAUUUCCUAAAUAUUGAAAUCACUUCAAAUCCCUAAUCCUUAAUUCAAUUAACCUGAAUUCAAACACCACCAUCCAAAACGUCUUCUUUAUCUGAAAUUACUCAACUCAUGAACCCUAAAUACACAACCCCCUUCAUCUCGGUUUUUCUUUUUAUCAUUCUUUUGGUGAAACUGCAUGUUUUGGGGUUUUAAUGAUUUUAGGAUUUUUGAUGUUGUUUUCCAUCUAUACAUCAAAAAGGGGUUCACUGUCAAGAGAAGAGCUGGUGGAAAUAAAUAAACUAAUUAACCCUCUCCCUCUCUCUGAUUCUUCAUUUUUUAUCAUGAUUUUAGUCAUUCUAGACUUUGAUUUCAUGUUUUGAGUUUCUGGGUCCAACCAUUCUUUUUCCCAAGAAGCUGCUGGCAAUAUUGCUCAUCAUCUUGAGAUGGUCCAUUUUAAUUUUGCAGAAACUAUAGUGCAAUGUCUCUCUUACAGAGGGUAUGCAUGAUUCCAUGUUUCCAGGGACGGGCCUAGCAAGGGGCUAACCAGGGCUGUAACCCGUCCUUAGAUUUGCUAAAUAAUCUCUUUAGUAUACAUAUUUACUUUAUUUUUGUGUUAGCCCGUACUCAAAAAUUUGAAGCACUAACAAUUUUUGACAGUGCUCAGUCACUGUUUGAUAAAAUGGCUUAAAGAAUUGCAAAGCCUUUACAUUGAAUAUGUACUGGUGAGGUUUUGUUGAUAAUAAUUGCUUUAUUUACUAAGACUCUUAGAGUCUUUAGAUGAAUCGACCGAAGUAUGGCAGCUGUUGUACAUAUGUUUGCAUAUAGUAACAUUUUAAAAUGUCUGGUUUCCGAUAGAUUUUUGUUGUCUACUUUGUUGAUUUGGUGCGGGAGUUUUUUCUUUCUGGAUAUCGUGUUGUUGUUGCUUCCGCAGGUGCCAAUUCAAUAUCGAUACCAUUUUUCUUAAAGUUUAUAAAUAAAUUCGUAUUCGAUCACUGUGCUAUUUAUUUAAUGGGUGUUGCAGCAUUGCAGCAUCAGGUUAACAAGUAUAAAUUGCCCUUUUCAGCUGGUCAUUGAACGUGUUUGGAAGGGAACUGUCUUCGGUGGAUUCAAGAGUCAUCCCCAAGUACCAUAUUUUGUUGAAAAUUACAUGAAGAAGGAAAUCAAGGUUGAUGCAUGAUUAUAUAACUCUCAGUCCGACCUUUGGUAAGAUCAGCUAUGAAUCCACUGUUUGCCGCGAAUAACUGAUGGCGACUUAAGGGGUGGCAAAAGUUAAAAACAUGGUAUAAGCUUACGGAUGGGGUCAAAGUACCAGUGGAGCAAGGUCGGUAUGGACUGCUUUUCGGAUCAUCUUUACAGGCUUGGCUACGGCUUCCGGUGGAGGCUAUCUAGUUUGCAAAUAUAAAUUAUGAGGAAGUUGAUUUUGCUUUAUAUCAUUUUCUACUGAUUUAGAAGUUUUUUGCAUGCUUCAGUUUGCCAUAGCUCUUCCGUUAGGACAAAAUAGUACUGAAUGUGCUUUUGUCAGUUAGAGUGAAGCUCUUCACUGUCUUGAUGUGGGAGACUGUGAGUCUAAAUCCUAUAAAGUAACUCGUGACACAAAAAGCUUCAUGUUCCGCCAUUAUAAUGAUUCUUCUACUGAUGAUUUUUUUGUAGUGUUCUGCAUAAUAAAAAAAGUAACUGAAGCUAUUCAGAAAGGUGCUGCUGCCUAUGACUGCAAGAUCGUUGAAGGGUUGCAAAAUUAUCAGUCACUGUGAUUGUGAAUUAUUUCUUAUGGUUGCUGCGGCAUUGGUGUUACCGUAUACCAGACGAUUGGAAGUUGCUUCAUUUAGACAGGUACCAUGGCUACUGCUUAUACCUGCAAUAGCGAUUGGUAGAGUUGAAUACCUUUUUCUUGACCAUGAGAGUUUAAAGUUCUACUCCCUCCGUACCACAUAUAUAGGCGGUGAGAGACUAUUCUCUUAGAUUAAGAAAAUUACUUGGAAUUCAUAAUUUUACAUGUUUUUUCUUGUCUUGCCGUUUGUCUUAUUCUCAAUACAAUUACCUAUGUAUCAUAAAUAAGGGUAUAUGUAGGAAAAAUUUAUCUUGAAAAUAGGAUUCCGCCUAUUUAAUGGUACAAGCAAAAUCCAAAAUUCCGCCUAUAUAAUAGGUACAGAGGGAGUAUGUUUUGUGACCAAGGAAGCUGGUUUCCCGAUCAGAAACACUGAGAAUCCUUAUAAUUGAUUUAGUUUUUGCUUUAGUUGUAGCACUUCUCUUUAGGACAUGAAUCCUUUCUUGUAUGAUUUUGAACUAAAUUUACAACUUUAAAAUAAUGGAAUUUUCAUUUUAUAUGAAAA